AUUACGUCCCUGCCCUUUGUACACACCGCCCGUCGCUACUACCGAUUGAAUGGCUUAGUGAGGUCUCCGGAUUGGCUUCGGGGAGCCGGCAACGGCACCCUGUUGCUGAGAAGCUGAUCAAACUUGGUCAUUUAGAGGAAGUAAAAGUCGUAACAAGGUUCCCGUAGGUGAACCUGCGGAAGGAUCAUUA
Molecule: ribosomal RNA, 190 nt
Filed under: uncultured Paraglomus
Lineage: Eukaryota; Fungi; Glomeromycota; Glomeromycetes; Paraglomerales; Paraglomeraceae
Description: partial 18S ribosomal RNA
Rfam family: Eukaryotic small subunit ribosomal RNA
Source: RNAcentral